Molecule: long non-coding RNA, 7335 nt
Organism: Passer domesticus (house sparrow)
Lineage: Eukaryota; Metazoa; Chordata; Aves; Passeriformes; Passeridae
Exons: 3
Source: RefSeq, a predicted model, not a curated record
AAAACCAGUUUACUCAUUGUGUGCUUCAAUAAAAACCUCUAACAUUAGCAAGAUGAAAAAUGUCACAAAAAGACCUCUGCACAAAACUGAGGACCUAAGGAAAGACCCUCUAGCAAUAAACAGAUCUAGGGUUGCAUGUGAAAGCACUGCAAGCAGCUUCCAGUACUCCAGCAAGACAGCACACAGUUUCCCAGCAUGAGAAGAUUUUUUCCAGGCCCAAUUUUUCUCCUAAAAGAAUACUUGGGCUGCCAGGUUCCCAGCUGUCUGCAUUGCUGCAGAUUUCAGAUUAUUUUUAUGUUACAAGAGGGAUAGGAAAACACAGAGGAAAUGUAACUUAUUCACCAGAACACAGAGAAGAGGCUGAGUGGCUGACAGGCUCCUGGCUUAUUUUGUAAACAUCCCUUGAGAAUAUUCUGCUCACAGAUGCGUUUCAAAAGAACAGCAGUAGGUGGUAAACAAACACCAUACACCUUUCACCAAGGAGCUUCAGUCAUAUCUUCCUGAUCUUAAGCUAUCAGAUAUGCAACAAUCCACUAUACAACAUAAUUUCUUGAAAUGCAUUUUCAAAAUAUACAGUAUGCAUGCGCACACAAGAUAUUUAUACUUGGGCAUUAGCUUUUGAUGAUAUAGGACUGACUUGGCAGAAAUACAGAAAUUCUGGUUUUCUUCAGCAGCAAAAUGCUACAUGAAAAGCUACAAAAAUUAUUUUAUUCUCUAGAUCAAAUUCUAAUGAAUUUUAAUUUUUCAGUGACAGAGAAAAAUGCUCUGUUCUUUUCUCCACCAACUGAUCAGACAUAUUAAAAGCAAAGAAUGCCAUUACAGAGUAAUAUAAUUUUCUGCUUGAGAUAGCACUUAAAAUGUUAACCAAUUGCCUGUGUGUUUAAGCCAGAAACUUGUUUGAUCAAAUUAUACUUUCUAGUCCCUACCUGAGGGAAUUAAGGCAAACAGACUCCACAGUUCUCUUGACACUUCGAUUCAACAGUUAACCAACUUCAGCUAGCAAAAAUUUCCCAUUUAAUUUGAAUUUUUCUGGGUUCAGCUUUCAGACAUCUAUGCUUAUUUAGACAAAAUAGGUACUUUUCUAUAAUAAUUUCCUUCAAGUGAAGGUACCACAACAUAGCCACCAAGGUACUGCUUCAUCCUUCUGACCACCCAAACAUAUCCUUAAAUCAAUCACUGAAGAACAGACUUCAACUAAAUCAUGGUUCCUUUUUCCUCCUUCCUCCCCUCAGUAUAUCGUAAAUUUGGAUUGAGUGCAAAGUAUUCCAGUACUGGCAAACUGUGCUUAAAGACACAGGGAUGUUCUCCCCUAUUUGAGGGGAGAUUGGACAUCUUGCACUGCAGCACACUUGGAGCUCAUACUAAGUCACUAAUCUAUUGCCAAAACCACUGAACCACUGCUGUACAGGCACAUCUCCCAGUUCAGUGUCCUCAGAACCACUGCUGUACAGGACACAGCUCCCAAUUCAGUGUCCACAAAAUCACUGCUGUACAUGAGAGAGCUCCUUAUUCACUAAUCAUGGGUUAGCUCACCCUCAAUAUCUGACUUUGCCAGGAACAUAAUAAAACAGUUACUUGAACGGACGUCACAUGAUGUCAACUACUCCAGAAUGCUUUCCUUUCUUCUUGACUGUUCUUUAUGCUGCUGUCCCUUAUGCAGAUAGAUAAUUAAGUAUGUGUCUGAGUAUUAGCCUAAACUACAGAACGUCCUUGAGUGGGGAAACACACAAACUUGCAUUUAAGAAGCUGUAUUUCAGUUGAGUACCAGAAACAAGGUUGUUCUCCAAAGGUCUGAUGCUCUGUGCUUCUGUGGCUCGAUUCCUUCCAGUACCUGAGCUCACUCAUCCAAAACUAGCAGGUUAGUUCUGCUCUCCCCAGCAGCAAUUGAACACAGUAAGAUUUAAAGUUCUUUCUCACAUAAGAGACACUACUCUGAUCCUGGCUGUAGAGUUGCGCUGAGGAUUGCAGCUGAAUAGUAUAACCCUCCUCUUCAGUCCUCCCCCAUUUCCCAUCUACCUCUGAGGAAACCCUGUUCUCUUUUCCACUUCUGUAUCUCAUAAGUUCUUAGAGCCAUUUCACGUGCUGCCUUGACUCUCUUAUGCUUAUUGCCAUAAACUUCCCUCCAAGUUCUGUAAUAUAAGGAAAAACAUGAGACUGUCUACUGUAAAAUGCUCCCUAUUAUCAAAAAAAUUCACCUGAAAAACAAACCACCCAUACAAUCAAAGAGCAACUCUGCAAGCCAAAGAUCCUGUUAAACAGAUGGCUGAAUGCCACCCUGGAUAACUCAAAUUAAUCUCCUCACUUGUUUACUAAAAAAGAGAGAUACAACCUCAAAGUUGGGUAUACAGAGCCAGCUAAAAACACAGGAACAAAAAACAAUUGAGGGAAAUUUGAGCAUUUGUGUUAAUCCAUCAAAGUAAUUGUGGAAACCUAUAUACUUAUAGAUAAAACACUGCCAUUAGCAGUGCAAAAGGCAGAUAACAGCCUGUCACUAUUGGCAAAGAAAGAACACCGCUCCCCUCUUCUCAAGUGCUGAAGUAUCAAGAUAUUUCCAUAACUUGAUUAACUUUUGGUAAAGCCUAAGAAUCGGUCAAGACAAUAUUAUCUCAGUACUAUGGUGACAAGCACCUUGAGCUACUUCUCUGAACCUCCUUCCAUCAAUUUUAACUAUCAUUUGAGCUUACUGUGCAAACUAGCAAUGCACCGUGCCAACACCAUCUAAAGAAACAGCCUGUACUUUUAUAAUACAGUUAAAUGAACGUGCUCCUUGCAAAGGCCCUCUGUGAAGUGCAAGACAGUACAAACAAGAUCCUAUGUUCUGCUAUGUUUAAGUCCACGGCCAAUAAAGCACAGGAAUUAAAGCCAUGACUUUGAACACAAACACUGCUCUCCUCCGUGAUACGAAAUGAUGGCAGUGAGUUGCAUCGAAGAGAAAAACAACAGUGUACUUCUAAUUGGUGUUCAGCACUUGGAAGAAGCACCUGAUAGACCUUCGGAGUUCCUGUAUGACAUUUUCAACUGUGGGAUCUACUGUACUUUUCCCAAGCUGGAACCCAGUAAGUUUAAACUGCCAACUGCUUCAAAAGAACUGUGAGAUUAUUCUGCAUUCAGACUCCUGGGUUCUCAUACUAAUUGGCCCAAAUUUACUGCAAAAUGUGAACACUACAGAAAAAGCCCAGCUAGAGCUGAGCAACUUUGGAAGAGAAAUUUGCACCAUCUGCAGCCCACCCCAGUAAGAACUGUCUGUGAGAUCAUGAAGUCCAUGGUGAUGUGCAUGCUCUACUCUGGGACCUACACAAUUCCCAAAGCACUGUUGGAUUCAUAAACUUCAUAAACAACUUUCCUCCAGAGAAGGAGCCAAUCCUGAGAAGUGGAGACUUAUUUCUAAAGCAAGUGCUUCUAAGCAAUUCUGAACUUAAAAAGGGUUACCUCUUAUACCUAGUGGGAAAUAGAAGAUAUCUUCAACUAUUUUAUCAGCAGUGAAAUGACCUAGGCAAGAGCUUGAUGAAUGUGGGAAACAGGACAAAUAAUACCAACUGGAAAUCAGACAACACUUGUUAUUUCUAUUUUUCUACCAUCCUACACACAACACACCAGGUAAUUAAUUUACUUGCAAUUUAAUAACUGAAAAUAAAUCCAAUAAUUAUUAAGUAUUUUUUAUUCUAACACCCCACCCAUCCUAAAUCCUUAUUUAUAACUAAUUUUCUUUUAUUUUUUUUCUGCCUCAGCAGCUUUCUUAUCCUUCCACUGAUAAAUUUUUCCUGCAGUUCCUAUAAUCUUUAUCUAUAAUCUUCAUUGGGCUGUGUUUGUUGUUGAUGAUGGCUCACACUCCAUUCUGUUGCCCAGUUUUAACAUGCUAACUCCACCUCACUUUACAAAACAUGACCCAACCUUCAUCUCCCAUUUGCUUUAACUUGAGAGUGGAUUAUUUUCCUACAAGGCUUGUGACUGAAGAUAAAGGAUUGUCAGUCUCUCAACUACUUCUUUAAAUAAAAAUACAUACUUAGUGCUAUUCGACAGAGGUGGGGGGGAAGAAAAAAACAGAUCAGUGGAAUUAGCAUUCAAGUAGAAAGAAAUGAGCAAACACACACUAGCAACCUUGCUGUUCUGCCACCCAACCACUGCUUUCACUAAAGGGUGUUGCAUUUGAAAGUCUUCAGAGUUGCUCCUGAUGCACUCUAGUUAAAAAAGUAUCAUUAAUCUAACAUAUUGCUUCCGCCAAAAGGCACAACCAAGGAAUCCAAUUACAGUUCAUGUUUGAGAGAAUGUCUGGAGAGGAUAUAUGAUAUGGAAAUUCAAAUAAAAAUUUACAUCUUCAUGCAUGUUUCACCUCAAAUAUUUCUCAAUCCUGACAUCAUCUUGUGGAAAGUCUUAGCAAAAACCACUAAUUAUACAGACUGUGUUUAAUUUAAUUAAAAAUAUAGCCACUAUCACUAACAGCUCAGAUGAGUGCAGAUAAACAUCUAUUCAGACAUGUGCCUAUGUAUAUCUGAGUAUGUAAUACACAUUAUCCACAGAAACAUUUCUCACACAGAACAGCAAGCUAGACAAUAAAAACACCAUUCAAUCACACACCACCUCUAAAGCACUUGGAGUCGCUACAUUUCAGAGGAUGUUAGUGAUUUUUUUCCUUACAUUCUGUCUUUCCUGGGUUACAUAACUGAGUUUCUCUUUCCUCCUAUAAGAACAUGGAUAAGGCACAGAUUUCAUCAAUAUAACAAUGAGAUAUGGGACCCUCAGCUUCUGGGGUUUAAUAAAGACUGUACACAAUCUGUCCCUGCUUUUGAACCUGUACAAGAAAAACAAGUCUGAAAGAAGAUUUGCAAACUAUUCCUUUAAGAACUGAGUUGCAGAUCAGAAUCAGACUGAUACUAUCUCCAAUCACUCUAACAGGAGUUUUUAUUGCUCCCCAGUGUAUUUAUUUUGCCUCAAAGCACAAAGAGUCCUAAUUUCCAGAAGAUUUUAAUUUUGUUUUCAUUGUGCCAUAAUAAAAUACAUUUUACACAAGUGCUAUUUACAGUAAGCAUUCAAAUUAGGUUGAACUCCCUGGACAUCUCACCUCACUGCUAGGGUCUGAAAUUAAAAGCAAGAUAUGCUGUGUGUCCACAGCAUCCAUUUUCUUGGCUGCUGCACCUUUUUCCAACUUGUCUUGUUUCACCUUAACAAGUUUGCUAUUUUUUUGUAGCUUGAGCAUCCCACAUCUGGUAGAAAAACCAAGUAUUCAAGUUUCACAUGAGUGGAAAAACAUUUUACCAGAAGUUCAGUUGGCAGCAAAUUUCUCAGGUGCUAAAAAUAGUAGCCAUAAAUAAAGUGAUCAUAAAUAAUCCUAAUUCAAUUACCUAACCUGAUAACUGGCCAAAUCCUUGCAAGAAGUUCCACAAUCAUCUAUAAAAUCAUCAUACUGGAAGGAUUGCUUGAUAUCAUUCAUUCAACAAGUGACAGAACAAGAGGCCUCAAGUUACACCAGGGCAGGUUUAGACUGCAUAUUAGGGAACAUUUCUUCACCAGAAGAAUCAUUAAGCAAUGGAAGGGAAAUGAUAGAACCACCAUCCCUGGAGGGGAAAAGGUGUAGCUGCAGCACUUAAGAACAUGGGUUUGUGCUGAGUUAACAGUCGGGUUUGAUAUUAAAGGUCUUCUCCAACCUAAAUUAUUCUAUCAUUUACAAGACAUUAUUUACCAUGGCAAAUAAUUCAUAGGGAUUAUGGACACAUUUUUAUACAUAUCAAGUUUCACAAGCAUUUUCAGGUUAAAAAGAUCUCAAGAAGUACAUAUUGCUUUUUCUCACAAUACAUCACAAGGACCAGGAAGCAUCACACCUUGUGAGCUUUUGAAAAUUCAAAUGUUUGUAUUGCAAACUCCACAAAUGACAGUAUGUGUCAAAAAACAGGAGCACAGUGUGCUGUGCUUUACCUCCACUAUUCCAUCAUUUUUCCAAAAGUACACAUCAUGCAGCAUAAAUGGCAAUUAGAACAACUACAGAAGAGAGAGAAAAAAACCAAAAAUUACCAAAGACCUUGUAUUUAAAUGAUACUGAAGGCAAUGAGGGAUAUACCUUGAAAAACUGACAUAUUCACUCAGAAGACAUAUUGUUGGAUUCAGUUAUUUCCCAAAGGGAAGGUCAGAGAGAAAUUACAGAAAAGACUAACGAUAGUAUGAAGGAGGGAGGAAGCUUCAGGAUGUCAAAUGGAAGGUAAUGGAGCAGGAAGGCCAGCUGACAGUGGCAACAAAGAAUGGGAGACAAAAGGCUUUAGUCAAGUCCAGAAAAACUGAACAACAGAAUACCUGAAUGCCUGUCAGUAUCUGAAAUUCUUAUGGCUCCCUUUUGAUGGGAAAAAUGUGUAUAUAGGAAGUGUAACAUUUGAUGAACAAAGUGGCAUUGCUAACACUGGGGAGAAAAAGGAAAAAACCCAAGAAAUACAAGUUUAAUUUUUAGGACUGGAAGAUGACUGUUCUGCUCAAGACAGCAUUUCCACAUCCCUCACAUAUCAAAACCAAACAUUUCAGCUGUGUUUAAUACACACUGCAAUAGGAUGUCAUGUUCAGGUUUCAUGCAGUAGUGAACCAUGACCUUCAUAGUAGGUUCUUCUCAUUCACCAUUGUGCUAGAGCUGCCAAGUCUUAUUAACUUCAUGAAGCUAACAAGGUAAUAAAAAUUGUCUGACAGGCCAAGUACUUUCAGGGUGAGAGGAGUCUGGUACCCCAUUUAAGACUUGUGUUUGCUAACAAUACUGGACAAUUCAAAGGUUAAUCACCAGACAAGAUAUUUCUAAAUGGUCCCUAAUGGGUGGAGUUUCAAUUUUGAGCACUUUACAAGGAACAAUUUAGCUAAAUGACCUGCCUGAAUCUUAUCUAGGAUUAAAUCAGAGUUUCUCCUGUGGAAAAAGAGAGGAACCUCAUCUACCUAUAUUCAAAGCCAAAAACAUUUCUUUCAAGUUUUAGUACAUAUGAGAGAGCAUAGUUAACUAAGCAGUUUAGCAUAGUUAUUUUUCCAGCAAGGGAACUGAUUUUAACAGCACACCACUAAAAAAUAAUGGUAACAAGAUAAGAGCGCCUCACUUCACAUUAUUUCUGUAGACAGCAGCACUUCAGGAAAGCUGGGGGGAAAAAAACGUAGACAUUUUAAGUGUACAAAUGACUUGAAAAUUGUGGCCCUUAUCAUCCACAAAUAACUGACCUAUCAACCCCAGUCAUCAUAGAAUUGGCUUUGACUAAUUGUUUCAUUAAAGCACUUGAAUAAAGGGAGUUGAAGAUUUCUUUACUAUCUUCAACAGUGCAGUCCACACAUGAAAAGAAAGUUUCUGUGAACUUGUUACUGCAAGGAUACCAGCAAACAUGA